Molecule: ribosomal RNA, 408 nt
Filed under: uncultured bacterium
Lineage: Bacteria
Also listed under: 2 other names
Description: bacterial SSU rRNA
Rfam family: Bacterial small subunit ribosomal RNA
Source: RNAcentral
UGGGGAAUAUUGGGCAAUGGGCGAAAGCCUGACCCAGCAACGCCGCGUGAAGGAAGAAGGUCUUUGGAUUGUAAACUUUUGUCCUAUGGGAAGAAGGAAGUGACGGUACCAUGGGAGGAAGCCCCGGCUAACUACGUGCCAGCAGCCGCGGUAAUACGUAGGGGGCGAGCGUUGUCCGGAAUUACUGGGCGUAAAGGGCGCGCAGGCGGCCGAUCAAGUUAGAUGUGAAAUACCCGGGCUUAACCUGGGAACUGCAUUUAAAACUGGUUGGCUAGGAGUGCAGGAGAGGGAAGCGGAAUUCCUAGUGUAGCGGUGAAAUGCGUAGAUAUUAGGAGGAACACCAGUGGCGAAGGCGGCUUUCUGGACUGUAACUGACGCUGAGGCGCGAAAGCGUGGGGAGCGAACAGG